Molecule: ribosomal RNA, 425 nt
Filed under: uncultured bacterium
Lineage: Bacteria
Description: partial 16S ribosomal RNA
Rfam family: Bacterial small subunit ribosomal RNA
Source: RNAcentral
GUGGGGAAUAUUGGGCAAUGGGCGAAAGCCUGACCCAGCAACGCCGCGUGAAGGAAGAAGGUCUUCGGAUCGUAAACUUCUAUCCUUGGUGAAGAUAAUGACGGUAGCCGAGAAGGAAGCCCCGGCUAACUACGUGCCAGCAGCCGCGGUAAUACGUAGGGGGCAAGCGUUGUCCGGAAUGAUUGGGCGUAAAGGGCGCGUAGGCGGCCCGGUAAGUCUGGAGUGAAAGUACUGCUUUUAAGGUGGGAAUUGCUUUGGAUACUGUCGGGCUUGAGUGCAGGAGAGGUAAGUGGAAUUCCCGGUGUAGCGGUGAAAUGCGUAGAGAUCGGGAGGAACACCAGUGGCGAAGGCGACUUACUGGACUGUAACUGACGCUGAGGCGCGAAAGUGUGGGGAGCAAACAGGAUUAGAAACCCCGGUAGUCC